GUCCGUCGCGACGUUCUGGGCAAGGAUUACGUCGACGGCAGCAUCGCCAAGGCCGACGACUUCAUGAUGGCGUUCCAGAACAUCACCACCGAAUGGUGCUGGGGUUACGCCUGGACCCGGCCGGGCCUCGACCGCAAGACCCGCAGCAUGCUCAACCUCGCCAUGCUGACGGCGCUGAAGGCGCCCAAUGAGAUCAAGCUCCAUGUCAAAGGC
RNAcentral lists this unclassified non-coding RNA (213 nucleotides) under Hevea brasiliensis (rubber tree). The record is from RNAcentral. Lineage: Eukaryota; Viridiplantae; Streptophyta; Magnoliopsida; Malpighiales; Euphorbiaceae.